RNAcentral lists this ribosomal RNA (491 nucleotides) under uncultured bacterium. RNAcentral describes it as "partial 16S ribosomal RNA". It matches the Rfam family "Bacterial small subunit ribosomal RNA", at positions 29 to 506 of the family's 1533-position model. The record is from RNAcentral.
AGUGAACGCUGGCGGUAGGCCUAACACAUGCAAGUCGAACGGCAGCACAGUAAGAGCUUGCUCUUACGGGUGGCGAGUGGCGGACGGGUGAGGAAUACAUCGGAAUCUACUUUUUCGUGGGGGAUAACGUAGGGAAACUUACGCUAAUACCGCAUACGACCUACGGGUGAAAGCAGGGGAUCUUCGGACCUUGCGCGAUUGAAUGAGCCGAUGUCGGAUUAGCUAGUUGGCGGGGUAAAGGCCCACCAAGGCGACGAUCCGUAGCUGGUCUGAGAGGAUGAUCAGCCACACUGGAACUGAGACACGGUCCAGACUCCUACGGGAGGCAGCAGCGGGGAAUAUUGGACAAUGGGCGCAAGCCUGAUCCAGCCAUACCGCGUGGGUGAAGAAGGCCUUCGGGUUGUAAAGCCCUUUUGUUGGGAAAGAAAAGCAGCAGGUUAAGACCCCGCUGUUCUGACGGUACCCAAAGAAUAAGCACCGGCUAACUUCGU